AUUUUACUCAGUAAUCUUCCUGCCAAGGUGCCCCAUAGAGUCUUUACAAGCCCUGCCUCCACAAGAAGACUGAGGACUGUCUACCUAAUAACCCAUGGAGCAGCCAAAAUGGCGGCCGUAGAAGACCUGGCCAGGAGAUCUGAGAGAUGGGCUCCGAAGGUUAGAGCAGUAAAUGGCCCUUCCGACGGGCUGAAUUACACGGGGAUACACACGACCGUGAACAAACAGAAAAGCAAAGCCUCUUGCAUCUUUCUCGAGGAACCCCCCCCCCAAUGUCCUCGUUUGAAUCUGGGAGAGAGGACAACUCAGCACACUCGCUUUGAAGAAAUGGCCUCAUUAAAGAAUUUCUUUAAAUAAGCAAAACUCUGAGUUAAUGAAGCCUGUAAUUCUAAAUUCAGUAUUUGAUGGCAAAUGGGAUGUUUUCUUAUAUUCUGCUGCUCAGGAAAGGUUGCAGCUUUAUUACUUUUUAAUGCAGCAUGAAUAGCCCGCCCCCCCCCCAUUCCUUGGGGAACCUGACCCGCCUUUAUAAUUUGUUAUUAAAAAACUGUGCUAUUUUCCUGCAGUUG
RNAcentral lists this long non-coding RNA (566 nucleotides) under Lynx pardinus (Iberian lynx). The record is from RNAcentral. Lineage: Eukaryota; Metazoa; Chordata; Mammalia; Carnivora; Felidae.